This 376-nucleotide ribosomal RNA is filed under the name uncultured organism. Its description in RNAcentral is "partial 16S ribosomal RNA". It matches the Rfam family "Bacterial small subunit ribosomal RNA", at positions 527 to 897 of the family's 1533-position model. The record is from RNAcentral.
GUAGGUGGCAAGCGUUGUCCGGGAAUUAUUGGGGCGUAAAGCGCGCGCAGGCGGUUCUUUAAGUCUGAUGUGAAAGCCCACGGGCUCAACCGUGGAGGGUCAUUGGAAACUGGAGAACUUGAGUACAGAAGAGGAAAGCGGAAUUCCACGCGUAGCGGUGAAAUGCGUAGAGAUGUGGAGGAACACCAGUGGCGAAGGCGGCUUUCUGGUCUGUAACUGACGCUGAGGCGCGAAAGCGUGGGGAGCAAACAGGAUUAGAUACCCUGGUAGUCCACGCCGUAAACGAUGAGUGCUAAGUGUUAGGGGGUUUCCGCCCCUUAGUGCUGCAGCUAACGCAUUAAGCACUCCGCCUGGGGAGUACGGCCGCAAAGGCUGA